This 753-nucleotide ribosomal RNA is filed under the name uncultured Eubacteriales bacterium. RNAcentral describes it as "bacterial SSU rRNA". It matches the Rfam family "Bacterial small subunit ribosomal RNA", at positions 55 to 818 of the family's 1533-position model. Lineage: Bacteria; Bacillati; Bacillota; Clostridia; Eubacteriales. The record is from RNAcentral.
AUGCAAGCUCGAGUCGGUCUUUGUGGAGUCUUGCUCCACAAAACAGCGGCGGACGGGUGAGUAACACGUGGGUAACCUACCUUAUACAGGGGAAUAACAAUCAGAAAUGGUUGCUAAAACCGCAUAAGCUUACGACAUCGCAUGAUGAAGUAAGAAAAUAUUUAUAGGUAUAAGAGGGGCCCGCGACUGAUUAGCUAGUUGGUAGGGUAAGAGCCUACCAAGGCGACGAUCAGUAGCCGACCUGAGAGGGUGAUCGGCCACAUUGGGACUGAGACACGGCCCAAACUCCUACGGGAGGCAGCAGUGGGGAAUAUUGCACAAUGGGGGAAACCCUGAUGCAGCAACGCCGCGUGAAGGAAGAAGGUUUUCGGAUCGUAAACUUCUAUCGAUGGGGAAGAAAAAAAUGACGGUACCCAAAUAAGAAGCCCCGGCUAACUACGUGCCAGCAGCCGCGGUAAUACGUAGGGGGCAAGCGUUAUCCGGAAUUACUGGGUGUAAAGGGUGAGUAGGCGGUAAGAUAAGUCAUAUGUGAAAGCCCGGGGCUUAACCCCGGGACUGCAUAAGAAACUGUCAUACUAGAGUACAGGAGAGGUAAGCGGAAUUCCUAGUGUAGCGGUGAAAUGCGUAGAUAUUAGGAAGAACACCAGUGGCGAAGGCGGCUUACUGGACUGAAACUGACGCUGAGUCACGAAAGCGUGGGGAGCAAACAGGAUUAGAUACCCUGGUAGUCCACGCUGUAAACGAUGAAUGCUA